UGAGGAAUUUUGCGCAAUGGGAGCAAUCCUGACGCAGCAACGCCGCGUGGGUGAUGAAGGCCUUCGGGUCGUAAAGCCCUGUCAGGUGGGAAGAAUGUCCAGGGACUGAACAGGUUCCGGGAGUGACGGUACCACCAGAGGAAGCACCGGCUAACUCCGUGCCAGCAGCCGCGGUAAUACGGAGGGUGCGAGCGUUAUUCGGAAUUACUGGGCGUAAAGCGCGUGUAGGCGGUCCGGCACGUCUGAUGUGAAAGCCCCGGGCUUAACCCGGGAAGUGCAUUGGAAACUGUGGGACUAGAGUACGGGAGAGGAUGGGGGAAUUCCCGGUGUAGAGGUGAAAUGCGUAGAGAUCGGGAGGAAUAUCAGUGGCGAAGGCGCCCAUCUGGACGGUAACUGACGCUGAGACGCGAAAGCGUGGGGAGCAAACA
Molecule: ribosomal RNA, 428 nt
Filed under: uncultured prokaryote
Description: bacterial SSU rRNA
Rfam family: Bacterial small subunit ribosomal RNA
Source: RNAcentral